GCCCCGGUAGCCCAGCGGUAGAGGCGAUGGAUUCAAAACCCAUUCAGCGUCGGUUCGAAUCCGACCCGGGGUAC
This 74-nucleotide transfer RNA is filed under the name Streptomyces virginiae. RNAcentral's name for it is "tRNA-Leu". It matches the Rfam family "tRNA". Rfam says of the family: Transfer RNA (tRNA) molecules are approximately 80 nucleotides in length. Their secondary structure includes four short double-helical elements and three loops (D, anti-codon, and T loops). Further hydrogen bonds mediate the characteristic L-shaped molecular structure. tRNAs have two regions of fundamental functional importance: the anti-codon, which is responsible for specific mRNA codon recognition, and the 3' end, to which the tRNAs corresponding amino acid is attached (by aminoacyl-tRNA synthetases). tRNAs cope with the degeneracy of the genetic code in two manners: having more than one tRNA (with a specific anti-codon) for a particular amino acid; and 'wobble' base-pairing, i.e. permitting non-standard base-pairing at the 3rd anti-codon position. The record is from RNAcentral. RNAcentral also lists the same sequence under 2 other names. Lineage: Bacteria; Bacillati; Actinomycetota; Actinomycetes; Kitasatosporales; Streptomycetaceae.